RNAcentral lists this ribosomal RNA (253 nucleotides) under uncultured bacterium. Its description in RNAcentral is "partial 16S ribosomal RNA". It matches the Rfam family "Bacterial small subunit ribosomal RNA", at positions 524 to 776 of the family's 1533-position model. The record is from RNAcentral.
UACGUAGGGGGCAAGCGUUGUCCGGAUUUAUUGGGCGUAAAGAGCGUGUAGGCGGCCAGAUAGGUCCGUUGUGAAAACUCGAGGCUCAACCUCGAGACGCCGAUGGAAACCAUUUGGCUAGAGUCCGGAAGAGGAGAGUGGAAUUCCUGGUGUAGCGGUGAAAUGCGCAGAUAUCAGGAGGAACACCGGUGGCGAAGGCGGGACUCUGGGCCGAUACUGACGCUGAGGAGCGAAAGCGUGGGGAGCAAACAGG